This 468-nucleotide ribosomal RNA is filed under the name uncultured bacterium. RNAcentral's name for it is "partial 16S ribosomal RNA". It matches the Rfam family "Bacterial small subunit ribosomal RNA", at positions 28 to 507 of the family's 1533-position model. The record is from RNAcentral.
GACGAACGCUGGCGGCGUGCUUAACACAUGCAAGUCGAACGGAAAGGCCCUGCUUUUGUGGGGUGCUCGAGUGGCGAACGGGUGAGUAACACGUGAGUAACCUGCCCUUGACUUUGGGAUAACUUCAGGAAACUGGGGCUAAUACCGGAUAGGAGCUCCUGCUGCAUGGUGGGGGUUGGAAAGUUUCGGCGGUUGGGGAUGGACUCGCGGCUUAUCAGCUUGUUGGUGGGGUAGUGGCUUACCAAGGCUUUGACGGGUAGCCGGCCUGAGAGGGUGACCGGCCACAUUGGGACUGAGGUACGGCCCAGACUCCUACGGGAGGCAGCAGUGGGGAAUAUUGCACAAUGGGCGGAAGCCUGAUGCGGCAACGCCGCGUGCGGGAUGACGGCCUUCGGGUUGUAAACCGCUUUCGCCUGUGACGAAGCGUGAGUGACGGUAAUGGGUAAAGAAGCACCGGCUAACUACGUG